This 497-nucleotide ribosomal RNA is filed under the name uncultured bacterium. RNAcentral's name for it is "partial 16S ribosomal RNA". It matches the Rfam family "Bacterial small subunit ribosomal RNA", at positions 28 to 507 of the family's 1533-position model. The record is from RNAcentral.
GAUGAACGCUGGCGGCGUGCCUAAUACAUGCAAGUCGAGCGAACAGACGAGGAGCUUGCUCCUCUGACGUUAGCGGCGGACGGGUGAGUAACACGUGGAUAACCUACCUAUAAGACUGGGAUAACUUCGGGAAACCGGAGCUAAUACCGGAUAAUAUAUUGAACCGCAUGGUUCAAUAGUUAAAGACGGUUUUGCUGUCACUUAUAGCUGGCUCCGCGCCGCAUUAGCUAGUUGGUAAGGUAACGGCUUACCAAGGCAACGAUGCGUAGCCGACCUGAGAGGGUGAUCGGCCACACGGGAACUGAGACACGGUCCAGACUCCUACGGGAGGCAGCAGUAGGGAAUCUUCCGCAAUGGGCGAAAGCUUGACGGAGCAACGCCGCGUGAGUGAUGAAGGUCUUCGGAUCGUAAAACUCUGUUAUUAGGGAAGAACAAAUGUGUAAGUAACUAUGCACGUCUUGACGGUACCUAAUCAGAAAGCCACGGCUAACUACGUG